This 670-nucleotide long non-coding RNA is filed under the name Rattus norvegicus (Norway rat). RNAcentral describes it as "long non-coding RNA NONRATT016032". The record is from RNAcentral. Lineage: Eukaryota; Metazoa; Chordata; Mammalia; Rodentia; Muridae.
AGAAUGGAUCUGGGAGGAGUAUGUGGAGAAUAUGCCCAGAUUGCAUUGUAUGAAAAUUUCAAAGAAUUAAUGUUUUUCAGAGACAAAGCAUUCGUGGAAACAAAAAUAAGCAGGGCUUAAGCUAUUCACAAAAAAGAACAGUUAUCAUUUUACAGGAUUAUGACACAACUUCCUUAUUAUACCCAUGUUCAGGUCCAUCUUUGUAAUGGUUAGAAAGAUCAUACCAUGAAGCAGCUUCCUGAAUGCGGAGAAAGAAGGGCGCUACCAGUCAUUUGGGAAAUAUGUUAGUGGAAUCUCCAGACCAUCAACCUUACACAUCAAGAGUUGAAGCAUUAGGGAUACACAUAAUGAAAAGAAGACAGUGUAAGUGACGACGGGAGACCCGUAAAGGUGCUCAUGUGAAAGUGCUAACAGUAUGCCAAGUGUUAACAGCAAUGGAAGGGAGGAGCUAUGCUGACUCUGGCCCAGUGCACCACGAUUGAUCAGCUAGCUGAAAACAAACUGCUGAAUUGAAGAUGUUUUUUCUUUAUUGGAUGAAGAUGGAGAUGGCUAUGAGAACAUGACAGCAAAGGAAUUUGGCCCUCCCAUAUGGUCACUGGCAAUACUCAAAUUUCAGGAUAUGACCAAUGAACUGGUCACCAUUGACAUACCAGAAUUUUUACUUUGAUGG